GCACCACAAGGGGUGAAGCCUGCGGUUCAAUUGGAGUCAACGCCGGGAAUCUUACCGGGAGCGACAGCAGAUUGAAGGUCAAGCUGAAGACUGUGCCAGACAUAGCUGAGAGGAGGUGCAUGGCCGUCGCCAGCUCGUGCCGUGAGGCGUCCUGUUAAGUCAGGCAACGAGCGAGACCCCUACUUCUAAUUGCUACCAUACAUCUCAAGGUGUUUGGAGCUAUUAUAGAAGAGACUGCUCGUCCUCUAAGAGCNGAAGAAAGAAGGGGCACACGGCAGGUCAUAUAUGCCCCGAAACUCCCGGUCCACACGCGGUCUGCAAUGGUAANGACAAUGGGUUCCCACCUCUAAAGAGAGAGGCAAUCCUCAAACCUUACCCCAGUUGUGACUGAGGGCUGUAACCCGCCCUCACGAAUCUGGAAUCCCUAGUAACCGCGUGUCACCAUCGCGCGGUGAAUACGUCCCUGCUCCUUGCACACACCGCCCGUCGAUUCACCGAAGUUGGACUAAUGACGAGUGGCGGUCUUGUUGGCGCUAUCNAAUUAUUANUUCGGCAACGGGGGGAG
RNAcentral lists this ribosomal RNA (565 nucleotides) under uncultured archaeon WSB-7. Its description in RNAcentral is "bacterial SSU rRNA". It matches the Rfam family "Archaeal small subunit ribosomal RNA", at positions 876 to 1430 of the family's 1478-position model. The record is from RNAcentral.